Molecule: long non-coding RNA, 9720 nt
Filed under: Lactuca sativa (garden lettuce)
Lineage: Eukaryota; Viridiplantae; Streptophyta; Magnoliopsida; Asterales; Asteraceae
Description: long non-coding RNA (LSAT_LNC006689)
Source: RNAcentral
GGAGGGUUGGUGUUGGAGGUGGAGUUGAGUAAAAGGUGUAAAAGUUGAGGAGGAAUUGGUGAACCGGUAAGCAUGUAUCUGUAUAUCAAUGCCUGUACUUCAAGCUCCUGCCAUUGCCCUACGCUGAAGUAACCACUUACACCCUGCAUCAUCUCUUCUUCAACACACAAAAUAAUAAGUACUUACCAAAAGAGAAAAAUCCAAACUUUAAAGCAACCAACAUGGAGAGAGAGAGAGAGAGAGAGUUACUUGAGGGUUUGGAUGAUGAUGAUGAAGAGGUGGGUUCAGAAGAAAAAAGAGGAAGAGCAAGCGAUGCAGAAGAAUCAUCAGGUUGGUGUUGAUUCUGGUGUGCCCAUUGCUUAAGAUGGAAGUCCAUCGAAGGGCUGGGGAGACAGAUGAGAUAUUUGUUCAAAGUUGAACUGAGAAAGAGAUUGAGACAGACAGUGAGAUAUAUAGCUGCUUCUUCUGCUGCUUCUUUGGAAUAUGUAUGGGUGAGCAGGUUCUUGUUAUUUCAAGUAUAUAUAUAUAUAUAUAUAUAUNNNNNNNNNNNNNNNNNNNNNNNNNNNNNNNNNNNNNNNNNNNNNNNNNNNNNNNNNNNNNNNUAUAUAUAUAUAUAUAUAUAAAGCCUUUUUUUAAUAAAAAUAAGGCCAGUGGACUCUGCAGCGGUGCUGUGUGGGGGGAUGUGUGAGUUCGGAAGUCAUCCAGUUGAUAGAAGCGAAGGGCACUCGAAUAAAGAUAUUAAGACAUAAGACAUGACAGUUGAAGACUUUUAAUACAAAAAUGUAAAAAUGGUGUGUGGUACGUUUUUUUUUUUUUCGAAAAAUAUUUAAAUCAUUAAAGUUUUGUAUGAAUAGUGUUUUUGAGAAAGUUUGUGAUUUUGGUUGGAUUGAAAAACGAAAAAAUUAAUGUCUUUCUAAUAAAAAUUAGUUGUAAGAUCCAUGUAUUACAUGGGUUAAUUUAAAAGAAAAUAUAAAAAUCAAAAUAUUUGAAAACUUUGAUUUUAUAAGGUAACUAGGUAAACGGGUUGAUUAUAAAAAAUAUUUAAUCUAGAUACAUAGGUUGAUUAUGAAAAAAUAUUUAAUCUAGGUAAUAACAUGUGGAUCAUACGGAUUGAAUAUAAAAAAUAUUUAAUUGGAAUAAGUGAAAAAUAAAGCACAAUUCAAGUAUAACUCUACUAUUCAUUGAUAUGGGGAAACAAAUUUUUUUAAGUUUAAGAUCCAAAAUAUAAUCAAAAGCUUUCUAGGGACGUAAACUUGAUGGUUUACUCUCAAGAUAUUUUGAUAAUUGGUCAAGAGAAACCACUUUGAUGGUUUCAUCUUCUUCAACAAUACGAUUCAUCAAAAUUACCAGGUUGAUUAAUAGAAAUAUAAAAUAAAGACUAAACAUUAAGGAUUUUUAAAAUGAUAUUUUCCAGAUUGUUCAGUUGCAACUUUGGUUGAACUUGCAUUUGGGUUAUAUGUACAUUGUUCGUGGUACCUAUUUUUGUCAACCUCACCAAAAUCCAGAAGAUUCCCGAAAUAAUUCAAGAAAAUGUAAGAUGAAAAAAUAUUAAAAAACAGUAUUAGUCAAAAUAAUGUACAAAAUAAAGUUUGCUGAAAACAUUGUUUCAGGGAAAAAUAAAGUUUCAACAUCUAAGUCAGAUCGUGGAAUUUGACUUUGACCGUUUUCGAACAUGGGGCUGUCCGAAGAUAGGUUUUGUUCUACCAUAAAAACUGACUGCAGCUUCUUUUGUGCUUUUGAGUAAUUUAAAGAUAACCUCACAUUUUGUUCGGGUGCACCUUUUUUGGAUUCUUAAUCACCUGAAGGUAAUUUGUAUGGUUUUGUAGCUAUGUAUUUUUCAAAGAAUUGUGUGUACCGUGAUUCUGGACAUCUUUGUGACAUGUCAUCUUCACAUGUGUUAUAUCUCGAUCUAGUACCAAAACUUGUUUUUGGUUGAACCUGUAAAACAUAAAAAUGAACUUAGGAUUGGACCUAUCUUCCAUUUUAGUACCAUAACAACUUACAUAGAUAAAGCAGUGAAUGUCAACCAAGAAACCCUUACACAAUGACGCCGUAGAGGUGACUCCCUUUUGACAAAACUAUAAGAGAAGAAUGAACAAAGAAUCAGCAUAUGUCCAUUAUUAGUCAAACUUAUAACAUUUUGUUCUUGACAGAACUGUAAGAGAAUAAAUCAAUGAAAAAUAUAUGUAUUUAGCAAAUGAAAAAAUAACAUAUUAGAAAAGAAAAGAUUAAAUACAUGGACAAAGUGUCAUCAUUACUUUCUCCUUCUUACACACAUGUUCUCUCUUAGCACCUGUUAUCAAGAACAAAGUUGUCAAGGAACCUUUUCAAUUUAAACUAAAAACUUAGGACCAAAAUACUCAUGCAUCCUUAAAGUAAAAAUGCAAUUGACGUCAUCUUCUAAACAUCCGAAAAUAACAUUCUUGCUUUUAUUAUAGCAGUACCCAUUAACAAACAUGGAUAAAAAAAACAUAAAUUAAAUCUAUAAAUCUUCCAGAUAAGAAUAUGACCAAAAUACCAUUUCACCCUUGUCAAACAUUAUUUACUAUGUACCUUUUGCAUCAAGUUUUUGUGCUCUUUUACAAAUGAAAAACUGAAACAACCACAUUAGUAUGGUUCUAGCUGGCUACAUAUGCACUUAAAAUAGCAAAAUUAAUACAUCUGUCCCCGUUGCAGAUAUAAUUGAGUUUCCCAUAACACUGUUUAUGUUUAACCGUUAGCUAAAAUGGUGACAUGUAAAUAGUUGGCUUUUGAGGACAAACAUAUAUGAUUUAUGAGCUUUAUUAUUGGUGUGAUCUUCAAGUAUUGGUAUUAAGAUGAUUAUUAAGCAUAUUAUUAAACUUUAAGUUAGGCAAUACCAAUACAAAAAGACUUAAUAUUAUUAAUUUAUUAGAUAUAUCUUCUUAAUUAAAAAUUUAAAUUCAAAAACUUUGAACUGAAAAAGUCAAAAGGACAUAUAUUACUUUAAUUAUUUAGCUUGAAACUUUGGUACAGACCUGUAAAAUUAUUAAAGGAUAAGUCUUGUAAAAGGAAGGGUUUUUUCAAUAAUUUCAACCGAAAGAAAAAGAUAGUUAGGUAAAUGAAACUGAAAAGACUUGGGCUUUGACUUGCAUUACAAUUCUAUUCAACAAAAAUGAAUUUCUGGUAACUUAAGAUCCACGAUUCCAUCAACGAACAAACACCAAGAAAUAUUAAGAUCAUGAUGCUUAAUUACAGACGAAUCAUAUACAACUAAAAUUAAGGCUUUAAUAACAGAGAUGGAGAUGGAGAAGAGUACUUGGUAGUUCAAAAGCAGGCAUUCUUAUGUGAAGUUAUUGUUCAUCAUACACCUGAAUAUCCAUUAGAUCAUCAAACCAUAGUAAGCACCAAAUGAAUGACACAUAAUAUGAAAAGCAUAACAAAAGGAAUACAUUCAAUCUUAAAUCAGCAAAGGGAAAAAAUCAUUAAUAAAAGGAUAAAAAUAUAUCAGAGAUGAAAAAUGGAAACAGAUUCUUCUAGUGAAAAAGGCAGAUUUUGAUUCAGAAUCACAAACCUUAAAAAAUCGUAAACCCACGAUUACAUCAUUAGCAUAAAGUCAAAAAACAAAUUCAUAAUCAUCUCACCUUAGUAACUUCGGGUUCGCUUGAGGCAAUGAAGACAAACCUAUAUUAAGACAAACCUUGAAGAUGGUGACCGAUAAGAGCGGCGAUUUAGGGUAAGGUGGAUGGUGGGUGGCGAUGGUGAGCACGGUGACGCGAGGAUGGUGUAAUGUUAUCAUCCACAUUGACGUUGUAAUGAAAGAAGUUGGGGCUCCUUGAAACAAUAAAGAAGAUGUGAAAAUUACAUCAAAAUACAAAGUCCUUAGCAGAUUAUUCAUCAAUGAAAUAAUUAUUUUUUUGGAUGGUUAACUAUCUUCAUCAAAAACACUAACUUCAACAGAGAGAGAAUAUUACUGUGUAUCAUAAUAAGUUAAGAGAGAGAUAUGAAGGAGGAAGAGCAAUGACAGUGAGGCAAAGCGGAGAUGGUGUUGGUGGUAAAGAAGAAGGCAAACGACACUGGUAUUAAUGGAGGAGAAGAAGGGCAGUAAUGAUGUAGUAGAGGUGUCAAUGAGAUGAGAUAUUUAUCUUUUGAAUUUCAAAUUGAGAGAUUUGAUUUGAUUUCCAAAGAAAAAUGCUAACUUUUAGGAGAUACAGAUGUGAUUAAGGGAUGACCAAAGAUGAGCGGGAAAACAAAAAAGAAGUUUACAUAAAGAUGACACGUGGAAAGUAGAGUGAUAGAAAAGUGUCAUGUGGCGUUUUUAGGAGGCUUUUAUUAGAGAGUAGAAAAGAAAAAUAAUGAAUUAUUAUAAUAGAAAUGUUUUUUAUCUUUUAAAUUUAAAAAAAUAAAUAAAUAAAGAAAAAAAACUAAUUAGCUUUAAUUUUAGAAAUUUUAAAAUUAAAAGAUAAGUUUAUUAAUGAAAUUGAUAUCCAUUUAUUACAACAUUUAUAGCAAUUGUUAUAUUAAAUAUUAUGUGGAAUUUAAUAAAAUAGAAAAAAACUCACAAAAUAACAUGUGAAAAAAAAUUUAAUGAAAAAUAACCACAAAGUGACAUUUGGCAAAUUGAAUGAGAGUGUGACAAGUGGCAAAAAAACCUUCAUUUAUUAGAGAAGAUUUUGUGUUAUUUUUAGUUAAUUUAAAGUUUUAUAAAUAAUAAAUACUAGGUGUAAGACUCAUGUAUUAUAUGGAUUCAUUUUAAAAAAAAUAGUAUUGAAUUGUUAACAUUCGAGAAAUUUGAAUUUAUAAGAAAAAUUAGAAAAAUAUCGAAUUAUUAAAUUAAAGUGUUUUUCCUUUCUCAAAUUUACAUAAUAAUUUAUAUAAAUAAACAUAGGAAACUAAUCUGAGUUUAAUUUAGAAAUUUUUGAAAUUAGAAGAAAUAUUAAUGAUUGAUAUUGAUAUAUAUUUAUUAUUAUAUUUAUUGCAACUAUUACAUUUAAAAUUAUGUGGAAUCUAAUAAAAUUGAAAAAACCACAAAAUGUUAUGUGAAAAAAUUUUAAUUGAAAAUAACCACAAAAUGACAUGUUAUCAAAUCAAUGAGAGUGACAUGUUGCAAAAAGAUUUUCAUUUAUUAGAGUAGAUGAUGUCGCCUCUCUCUCACACACAUUCUAUCAACGCUCCAAUAAUAAUUAAUAAAACUAUACCACUACCAUCAAAGAGCAAUAUCAUCAAAGACAUCAUAUUUCGAUCAAAGAAUCACAAUUUCGUUUCAAAAUAUGACCACCAAGUUUUGAUGAUGAUCAACCCAAAUUAAUCCACCGCCACUGAAAUUCCAUUACCCCAAAUCGAAAUCAAGUAUAAAUCGAAACAUUGAUGAUACAGUUUAGUGCGUCCAUUGAAAGUAAAAAACAAAGUAUUAACCAAGUCGAAUUUUUGAUUAAUUAUUUGAUCAAAUCAAAAGAAUCUCAUCGUCACCAUGGCCAUAGAAUCUCAUAGGAGGACAUAUUCAACAGGGAUAGCAUGGGUAUGACCAUCGAAACAUCACCAUGAGAGAGAGAGAGAGAGAGAGAGAGAGAGUGAGUGAGUGAGUGAGAUAAUGAAGUGGGUAUAUUCGUGAUUGAUGGAAGAGUGAACUCGAUAUCGAUGGUGAUAUAGAUCUGUUAUUAUUUUGUUUGAUGAUAUCGAUGAAGAACUGUGUGGCUGCCUUAAGUCAGAAUUUUGGUCUAUUGUUACCGAAGUUGAUGGAAUAACUGUUUUGAUUCAAUGAGUUGCUGUUAGUUGAAGUCGGUGUUUUGUAUUGUUCCAAAAACUUUAAAUAUCCAAUAUCUAUUCAAUAAAGCUAAAACCUGAUGCUUUGAGAAGCUCCAAUAAUUAAUCAAUGUUUGCUUCAGAAUUAUUUUAUUCUCUCUAUGAACAGUGGGGGAUGAACACCCACAUACAAAUCAAGUUAUAGGGGGUGAACACCCACACAUUAUGAUAACCAAGAAAACACGUCAUCAAAUGCCGUUAGAACUUAACGACAAACACGAAAAUGUUAUAGGACAACCAUGUAACCAUUCGACAUAUAUUAGUAAUGUAUUCGAUUUUGUCUUUAAUUACGUCAACAUCUAGGCUCAAGAAUUUUUGUUCGAAGAAUUGUGUCACCUUAAAAUCAGUUUUACAUUUUUAGAAUAUAUGUGUUACCACGAUUCCAAAAUUAUAAAUUUCAUAAAAAUCCAACUAAGUAUGAAAGAUAUAUGAUUUUUAUAGUAAAUAAAAAUCACUGCAUGUAAGAAAUUACGUCAAAAGCUAUAUGGAAAACGGUUGGCCUUUGGAAAAAGUCACCAAAAGGAGAAACGUAGUAUUACUCAAAGUAAGAAUUUUAAGACAAAAAACGUCUGAAAUGGAACCUGUAUGAGAGAGUUAUAAUUUUUAUAAAAUCAUAACGGUUAUAAAAUGUAGUAAAAAAAGAAAGUUAAAACUAGUCAAACGACCAAAAGGAAAGUUAUAGAGUACGUCUAGACCUACACAAAUAUAUAGAGUAGUUGAAAAUGGAGUUCAUAUGUGAGAGUUAUAGAAUUUCAAAAUUCAAUUUUCAUCGUCACACGCACCUAUGCGCAGUGCAUCGUGCACACCUAACACUCAAUCCGUUGGAAUACAGGGUGACAUAGCAUAAGGAGAGGAUGACAUGUAGCCGCUCUACGUGGAUCAUGCACAAUCUUGCGGCGCACAUUGGGCGACAUGCCACAAAAAUUGGCUAUAAAUAGCAGGCUUUGGCAUACAUCUUGUCACACUCUCAAAACGCUCUCUCAAACUCUCUCAAUUUGUGUGUCAUUGCCUCGAUCGUCUCUCGAAGUUUCGGACUCUGGAUUUUCUACCCUACAAAAGUGGUUUCUCAUUUCACAGUUGAGUCCACGACCCCAUUUUCCAAACCUUUUCAGGGGGAAUACAUGUUAAAAUACAAAUAUUCCAUAAUUAUUACUAAUUGUAUAAUGUUAGUUAGAUAAUUAUCCUCAUGACAUUAUGAUGAUAUUAUACCUAAUAGAUACUAUGCCAAACUUUUAAGGAUAAUAUUAUGCAUAGUUAUACUGACCCACAGUGAUAGAAAAUGCCAUAACUAGUUGUUAUGUUUGCUAGUUGCAAGGAAACAUCAGUACUCUAGUCAUUAUUAUAGUCAACCUUUGGCUAAGCUUAGUACCUACCGGUUACUCUGCCCAAAUACCCGGUUACGCAAAAAACGUUAACUUGAUUAUAUAUAUAUAUAUAUAUAUAUCCAUAUCUUCUAAAAUCGUCAGUAAAAGUCACGAAGUAUCUUUCUCNNNNNNNNNNNNNNNNNNNNNNNNNNNNNNNNNNNNNNNNNNNNNNNNNNNNNNNNNNNNNNNNNNNNNNNNNNNNNNNUGAUAUUUGCAUAUUUAGCCUCAUAAUAAGUAUAGAUUUUUAUCAUUUAUUAGCUAAUUUAUUGCAUAUCAUGGACAAAAGAUACUUAAAAGUGUUUGAAUUGUGUUUUCAGUCCAAAAGCGAAGCUCGGAAGCAAAAGGAAGCAGGAGAAGCGGUUGGGAGCUCGGGAGUUGAACAAAGAAGAAAAAGGCUAAAAAUACAAGGUACUCGGCGAGUAGGGUCGACUACUCGACGAGUAGCAUCAAAGAUUCAAGAGGAUAAAGACUUCGUAACUUACCGUGUACGAGAAUUAAGGGAUGGACUCGACGAGUUGGUCUUGGACUCGGCGAGUAAGUUCGAAUCUAUAAAAACAGUUGUCCAGAUCGACACAAGGUAUUCUGGAACCUUUUUGGAGAGAAGAGCUGCGAUUGGAGAGUCAAAAGAACCCUAGAGAUCGAAGAUACAACCUAGAAUUCAAUUCCGAAGGAGAUUUGAGGCAAGUUCUCAUCAUUCUACUUAAUCUAUUGUUUUCAAUCAUGGUUAGACAAUUAGAAUUCGUUUUAUUGCUGUUAAUUACCGUAGUCAUGAGCUAAAACUCUUAAACUUCUGUUUGGGGAUACAAUAUUGAAACUAUGGUUUGAUUUAUGGUAGGAUUAAUUCAAUAUUGGUGAUUUUGUUGAUUUUAGCUUGUUAAAGAACUUUGUGUGUAAAUGAUAACUAUUUUUCUGUUAAUAGGAAGAUAAUUAAAUAGUAUGAACAUCCUUUAAUUGUCAACCUCAUAUGUUUAUGUGACCACUUUAUCAUAUGUCUAGGAUUAAUGAACUUGAAACUAGAAUUAAUAGAAAAUUAGGCAAAUUCAUGUGUGAGCUUGUGUGAUGACCAUCAACAAGAGGUUAACUAAAUGACCAAAUUAGUUAGCUAUUACAAGUCUAAAUUAACCCGAAUAAAUAAUCUAGUGAAUUAAAUUAAAUUAGAAAACUGACCACUAUUUGAGUUAGUUUGUUCUCUAAGGAUUAGUGCAGCGAACGUGAAUCUAAUCACUUGAAUCGGUAGCCAAUAGAAGAAUUAAUCCAUUGCACUAUUACCAUACUAUCAACCAUAGGAUCAAUUGAGUUGAGCUAAACAAAAGUUCCUUUCGUUAUUGAAUUUAGUUAAAUCUUUUCUUUUCUAGUUUUUAGUCUAAGUAAUAUUAGUAAGUUUCUAGUCUUGUAAAACUAGAGAAAACCCCUAUUUAUUAUUUAAUUUAGAUAAAAUUAGUCUUUAGUUUUAAUUUACCAUUCGCUGUGUUCGAUACCCUACUUAUUUAGUUUUACCACAAUUGAUAGGUCCGCUGCCUUUGUGUGUUCAUUUUAUAAUUAUAAGUAGGUUUAAAACUAGUUGAGUUUACACACAUCAAUAUGUGUGUGUGUGCGUGUGUGUGUGCAUGUGUGUAUAAGAUGAUAUACAUAAUAAGUAUAUAUAAUAAAAUACAACAAGAAAAGUGUCACACCCCCAAACCGGAACGGCGGAAUCGUUCGGGGGCGGAGGACAUCAUAUUCAGUAUCAUAACAGUUCAUAGAAAGGAAAGUACACACCACCAUAAUAUAAAUAUGUUUGAAAAGUUUACAUGAUUGUAGGUGUUACAUGUUUGCAAAAGAAAUCAAAUAUAAAAUGGUGAUCCAAAAUAUGUUACUAACGCCAAUGCGUUAGUCUUCAGAAGUAGUUGCUACCUGGCUAGCGGUUUCCUGUGAAUACAAGUUAUUUCAAAGAAAAAGUGUCAACAUUUAAGUUGGUGAGUUCAUAAGUAGUGUUUUGAGAAGAUGUAUGCCAUUCGAAAGUGUUUGCAUGUUUUCCAGAAAAACCCUUAUUUUCUUAUUAAAGUAUGCAAUGCAUAUGAAUGUUCGUGAUGUAAAUUGCAACUAAUUGUACCAAGAAAAUCCCUUAUUUUCCUAUUAGUUGUUUGGUUUGUAUACAGGAAAAACCCUUAUUUCCCUGACAUAGCUGGCAGUCUCUAAGACCGAAAAUCGCAAGCAAUCGACGUGCUCGAAAGGUGUGGCAUAGUUUUACAUAGUAAAGCUAUACGAAGAUCGCACUUAUUAGAUGAAGAAUAGUUUUAAUGACUACUCGUUCAUAAAAGCAUAAUACCAUAAUAAUUGUAUAUCCGAUGAGUUUUAUAACCGUACUAAACAUAAUAUGCCUGUAGCGACGUUCUUCAGGCGUCGUAGCGUUAUGACAACUGUCACCCCAAAAGACGGACUGUAGCUAACAGUCAGGGCGCGGGAUCAUGACUUCCCGUAUAGAUCUAUACACAUUUGACACGUUCUCCGAACGGGAGACUCUGGUUAUAGACAGGACUUGUAGCAUUAUUUUCUAAUAAAGAAAGUAACGUUUGAAGAUAUACACGACUCAUGGAUUCUCAACUAAGUCCGUAAU